Molecule: ribosomal RNA, 253 nt
Filed under: uncultured bacterium
Lineage: Bacteria
Description: partial 16S ribosomal RNA
Rfam family: Bacterial small subunit ribosomal RNA
Source: RNAcentral
UACAGAGGUCUCAAGCGUUGUUCGGAUUCAUUGGGCGUAAAGGGUGCGUAGGUGGCGCCGUAAGUCGGAUGUGAAAUUUCGGAGCUUAACUCCGAAACUGCAUUCGAUACUGCGGUGCUUGAGGACUGGAGAGGAGACUGGAAUUCAUGGUGUAGCAGUGAAAUGCGUAGAUAUCAGGAGGAAUACCGAUGGCGAAGGCAGGUCUCUGGGCUGACACUGACGCUCAUGCACGAAAGCGUGGGGAGCAAACAGG